This 250-nucleotide ribosomal RNA is filed under the name uncultured Chroococcidiopsis sp. RNAcentral describes it as "partial 16S ribosomal RNA". It matches the Rfam family "Bacterial small subunit ribosomal RNA", at positions 796 to 1044 of the family's 1533-position model. The record is from RNAcentral. Lineage: Bacteria; Bacillati; Cyanobacteriota; Cyanophyceae; Chroococcidiopsidales; Chroococcidiopsidaceae.
CUAGCUGUAAACGAUGGAUACUAGGCGUUGAGAGUAUCGACCCUCUCAGUGUCGUAGCUAACGCGUUAAGUAUCCCGCCUGGGGAGUACGCGCGCAAGCGUGAAACUCAAAGGAAUUGACGGGGGCCCGCACAAGCGGUGGAGUAUAUGGUUUAAUUCGAUGCAACGCGAAGAACCUUACCAGGGCUUGACAUGUCCGGAACCCUGCCCAAAGGCGGGGGUGCCUACGGGAACCGGAACACAGGUGGUGC